RNAcentral lists this unclassified non-coding RNA (217 nucleotides) under Hevea brasiliensis (rubber tree). The record is from RNAcentral. Lineage: Eukaryota; Viridiplantae; Streptophyta; Magnoliopsida; Malpighiales; Euphorbiaceae.
ACACCAGCAACACAGAGUAUUGUCAUGCGGAAAUGCAACAAAAAUCAACUUAGUUUCAUGUAUUACCACCUUGGGUAAUUUAGAAGGUAAACAGAUGCAAGGNNCGGCAAUAGACUAUCUCGGUGAAACCUCGAGAAUUGUGCAGCCAAGGGAGCAUUCCGAGGUUCUUCAAACCGAACUCUUUCCUUGGGAAGAGUCUCCUGCUAAUUAUAAGAUC